CGUCUAUAUACGUAUAGCAUAUCAAUAAGCGGAGGAAAAGAAACUAACAAGGAUUCCCUUAGUAACGGCGAGUGAAGCGGGAAGAGCUCAAAUUUGAAAUCUUCAAGGUUUUACCUUGACGAAUUGUAGUUUAAAGAAGUGUUUUCUGUUGGAAUUUUCGGUAAAAGUUCUUUGGAAAUAGGACAUCAAUAGAGGGUGAGAAUCCCGUAUUUGACCAUUAUUUCCAGCUUUGUGAUACACUUUCAAAGAGUCGGAUUGUUUGGGAAUGCAGUCCAAAAUGGGUGGUAAAUUUCAUCUAAAGCUAAAUACUGGCGAGAGACCGAUAGCGAACAAGUACCGUGAGGGAAAGAUGAAAAGAACUUUGAAAAGAGAGUUAAACAGUACGUGAAAUUGUCAAAAGGGAAGCGUUUGACACCAGUGUUGUUUUCUCGAAAAUCAAUUAAAAAUGGUGGGAUUUUGUGUUGUAUUGACUUUAUCAGCUUUCUGCACUUUUUUCCUAUCUUUUUUAAUGCACUUUUCGUUUAACAAGUCAACAUCAAUUUCUUUUGCUUGUAAAAGAGGUCAUUGGAAGGUGGCUUUCUUUUCGGAGAAAGUGUUUAUAGCCUUUGACUUCUGCAGUCGGAGAGAUUGAGGUCUGCAGCGUAGAUCCUUCGGGGUUAGAUACAUUUGUGCUAAGUUAUAGCCUUUCAUAGACAACUUGUUGACUAUGAUCAGUCAUGUAGCUUACUCGCUUAUGUUAUUUUACCUACGCUUAGGAUGUUGACGAUCAGCUGAGCGCG
This 779-nucleotide ribosomal RNA is filed under the name uncultured Neocallimastigales. RNAcentral's name for it is "partial large subunit ribosomal RNA". It matches the Rfam family "Eukaryotic large subunit ribosomal RNA", at positions 26 to 627 of the family's 3401-position model. Lineage: Eukaryota; Fungi; Neocallimastigomycota; Neocallimastigomycetes; Neocallimastigales. The record is from RNAcentral.